AACGAACGCUGGCGGCAUGCCUAACACAUGCAAGUCGAACGAGACCUUCGGUUCUAGUGGCGCACGGGUGCGUAACGCGUGGGAACCUGCCCUUAGGCUCGGAAUAACUCCCCGAAAGGGGUGCUAAUACCUGAUAAUGUCUUCGGACCAAAGUUUUAUCGCCUUUGUAUGGGCCCGCGUUGGUGUAGCUAGUUGGUAGGGUAAAAGCCUACUCAGGCGACAGUCCAUAGCUGGUCUGAAAGGAUGAUCAGCCACAUUGGGUCUGAGACACGGCCCCGACGCCGACGGGAGUGGGGAGUAGGGAAUAUUGGACAGUAGGCGGAUGCCGGAUCCAGCAGUGCCGGAUGAGGGAUGUAGGCUUGUGGAUUGUAUAGAACUGUUACCCGGGAUGAUAGUGACAGUACCAGUAGAAUAAGCUCCGGCUAACUCCGUG
Molecule: ribosomal RNA, 433 nt
Filed under: uncultured bacterium
Lineage: Bacteria
Description: partial 16S ribosomal RNA
Rfam family: Bacterial small subunit ribosomal RNA
Source: RNAcentral